This is a long non-coding RNA of Homo sapiens (human), 1377 nucleotides long. The record is from Ensembl. Lineage: Eukaryota; Metazoa; Chordata; Mammalia; Primates; Hominidae.
GGGGGUCCGGAAGUGUUAGGAGCCUCGCGAAGGGUUGGUGUUCAUCUGCUUGCAGAGGAAAGCCAGAGUAUUUCUCUGUUGCCUGGGCUGGAAUGCAGUGGCGCCAUCAUAACUCACUGCAGCCUCAACCACCUGGACUCAAGCUAUCCUCUCACCUCAGCCUCCCUAGUAGAUGGGACUACAGGUCCAUACCCCUGAACUUCUCAAAUAUUUCCAAUGCUCAUCACUGGGUCUUUUGCAUGGUCAAAAGGGUUGCAGGUGAUUCUUCUGUGUUGUAAAGUUGAAGAGCAGCUUAAUCCACACUUCCUUUUUGGUCUCACUUCUCCCCUUUGUUCCGGUCAAACCCUGACUGCUUCAAAAGGAAAACUGAACAGAAAGGCUACUGUCCCUAGAGCCUAAAGAGGCAAAGUACCUCUACCAAGGCAGUGAACGACAGUCAAGUUUGACCCUCAAAGAUCAGCUGGGCCAGGUAUAGAAGAUGGAAUCUCGCUCUGUCGCCCAGGCUGGAGUGCAAUGGCAUGAUCUCAGCUCACUGCAACCUCCGCCUCUCUGGUUCAAGUGAUUCUUCUACCUCAGCCUCCUGAGUAGCUGGGAUUAUAGGCGAGCGCCACCACACCUGGCUAAUUUUUUGAAUUUUUAGUAGAGACGGGGUUUCACCAUGUUGGUCAGGCUGGUCUUGAACUCCAGACCUCAUGAUCCGCCCGUCUCGGCCCCCAAAGUGCUGGGAUUACAGGCGUGAGCCACCGUGCCCAGCAAAAUAAAAAUUUUUAAGUCCAUUUUCAUUUCCCAUCACCUUGAUCCUAGAUAAGUAAUUAACUUCAGUAACUCUUCCCUCUUUUUAUGGGGGUGGAGGCUGUGGUGAUUAACAUAUAAUAAAUGUAUUUAUUUUCAAAAUGCCUAGAAUGAAAAAAAAACACGCAUUAAAAACAGAGCACAAGUAUUAUUAUGGCAUUCUUCCAUAUGUGGCACAUAUUAUACAGCCUCACUUGGCAGAGUUCUCUUAUUUCUUAAGGGUACGAAUUAGGUCAAGAUCAGACUCCACUGUCUUAAGCUUCCCAGCAACUAAAACAAAGCAGGACAAAACAAACAAACAAACAAACAAAAACACCCUACAACUGUACCCACCUGAAGAACUAUAUCAGAAUUUCAAGCUCUUGGUCACUGGUGGCCAGGUGACAAUAUGUUUAUUACCGGAAAAAUAACUCAAAGCCAAAAUCCUUUUGUGGCAGGGUAGUACUGUCAUUCUUUACAUUAAAAUUACAUGUAAUCUACAAGAUAAAACCAAUGUUUUUUGUUUGAUAUACAACACUGCUCAUCAACAGGUACUAAAAAUUACAAUGAAUGAAGUGAAUGUUGCUUUGAAUAAAUGUAUACAAU